AGUUACUUCAUUGUGAAAUUUUUUGGCGUCCGAGUUGGUUCGUUCUUGUGUACAAAAAGAUUUGCGGGUGAAAAUACCGUCAGUAAGUCGACCGGAGGAAAGGCUCCCCGUAAGCAGCUGGCCACCAAGGCUGCCCGCAUAUCGGCGCCCAUCCACUGGUGGAGUGAAGAAGCCGGAAUUGUGGCCCUACGUGAGAUCCGUCGUUACCAGAAGUCGACCGAGUCGCUCAUCCGCAAGCUCCUCUUCCUGCGAGUGGCUCGUGAAAAUGUCAAGGACUUUAAGACUGAAUUGCGUUUUCAGUCGGCGUCCUUUGGAGCCCUUCAGGAAGCUUUUGAGGCGUAUCUAUGGGUCUAUUCGGAGGUACUAACUUGUGCGCCAUCCACGCCAAGUGCAUAACCGUUAUGCCCAAGGACAUCCGGAUGGCGCACAAGUUGGUAUCUUCGAAUAGAGCCACUAGCAACUCCUCAGAAGCUUCCUGAAGGUCUCCAAUGGCCGCCGAUUGGAAACGCAAGUCAUACGCAAGUCUGUAGCUUGUGUAGUUCACAAGUUACGGGCAUACGUUUAAUUUUUAACGGAGCCUCGGUUUUCGAAAAGUGGUGUCAUUCGACGUUUAUUUUCAUUAAGUCGAACCCGAGCCGAGUGGAGUCAAGUCGAAUCGAAUCGAGUUGGAGACCACCCAGGUAACGAUUUGUGCAGUCAUUCCACGAAUUCCCAGCUGAGGGGGCGUCGCGUCUGUUCUUCGUGGACUUUUGUGGCGAAUUCUGCAGACGGGGAGUGCUGGGGGCAUUUCACAUUUCACCAGUCCCAAGUAUGCUAAGGAUGGCCCACGGUACCCGCCUGUGACCAUUGUCAAAGUCCAAAUUAUGCAUGCGUCUCAGAGAUAUAUUUUCGCCAAGUGCACUGCGAGAAGCAGAGCUGAAAGCCUGACAGGACCACACACGAAGCUGGAAAAACCACACACCGUCGAGGGGGCGGGGGCAGACUGCUCAGUUCCCCAGUUCCUCAGUUGAUGAUGUCGGUUGCCGGUCGCCAGUUGCCGUUGGUCGGGGCGGUUGAUUACAUGAACAAACGAACCGAACGAUCCGAGCCAGGCUCCAGACCCGGUCCGGUCCCCCAGAUCGCAGACCCAACCGCAAAAGCCGACGCCAAGAUAACGAGUUAACCCAAACCCAAGCCCAAACCGCAGGCACCGGGAUGUGUGGGGAAAAGGGGCCCAGGGAACCACACACGCCAUGUCGCUGGGGAUUCGGAAUCGCGGGCCUACGUAUUACCGGUGGCAAAUAGUAAUUAUUACAUUAAAUGCACCGCAAUAAUGCAGCAGCGACGUCAACAUUUAGCCAUAAAAAUUGCUUGCACUCCGCGACUGCAAAUGCAGUUAAACUUUAAGUGGCGGAGCGAGAAGUGCACCUAAAACAAUUUCGUGUUCUUCUGAAAGACUAAUUAGCAAAUUAAAAUAUUGUAUGAAAUAAAUAUUUACUUUACUACAUCUU
Drosophila subpulchrella is the source of this 1490-nucleotide long non-coding RNA. RefSeq lists it as uncharacterized. The record is from RefSeq and is a predicted model, not a curated record. The transcript is spliced from 4 exons. NCBI's taxonomy places the organism in Eukaryota, Metazoa, Arthropoda, Insecta, Diptera, Drosophilidae.